This 1306-nucleotide long non-coding RNA is filed under the name Struthio camelus australis. RNAcentral describes it as "lncRNA (ENSSCUG00000016584.1)". The record is from RNAcentral. Lineage: Eukaryota; Metazoa; Chordata; Aves; Struthioniformes; Struthionidae.
CUUAGGCUGGCUGGUAUAGGCAAAAGGAAUGGGCAAGCUUCCAAGCACUCACAUUUGAAGCAGAGGAGGCAACCUGCAGUCUAGUAAGGAUUAGGAACGACUGCCCUGAGUUGAACAUUAGCCAAAGAGGCCAUUUAUGAGAAAAGUGUACUUUGCACUUGCAGAGAGUGGGAGAUCUUUAAAAAGAAAAAAGGCAAUACAGUGUUAGGCCAUCUAGGCUGUAACGGCUCUACUGUUGCCUCCUUUCUUGGGUGCAGUCUUGAUCCUAAAACACUCCCGUCGCUCUCUCGGAAACAAUGAAAGCCAGCGCUAGAACAGAGGUUAAAACUGACAUGGGGAUUGCCAAUGCCUUGCUUUCAAAACUGGGACGUUAAAAAGUACUUCACAUUAGGACAGCGUUUAUUUUGUUCUUCAGUGGAAAAAGUGAAACAUUCCUUAAUCAGCGAGGAAGCAUGCUUUCUGCAUACCCCUGCACAAAAUUUGGUAUGAGUUCAACAAAUGACAAUUCAGCUGCUGAAGCAUAACCAACUUGGACUGCUUUAGAGGUCUGUAUUUCACUUAUUCCGCUAUCUGUUUUAUUAUCCACUCUGCUAAGCUAAAUAUAGAAAGAAAGUAGGGAGAAGAAGUCAACAGUUCUGUAAGCCUAGAAAUGAUAGUCAAGAACAGCUAUGAUGAAGUUAAAAUUGUAUAUACUUAAACCAAAACAAAGCAUAUGUGUUGUAUUUCUGUAGAGCUUUCCAUCUGAGGAUCUCAAUCGUUUAUCCCAAUGAGCUUAAUGAAGGUAUGAGUUCACUGUAUACUGCAUACUGGGUAAUAUGCCAGAAGAAUAGCGCGUUUAAAAAGCUGGCAUUAUCUUAAGAGGUCUGUUUACAAAGAUACUUCAGGUUUAGUUUUUAGCCAUGAGUAUGUAAUGCGUAACUUUUUGAUGUUUCUCCUGAACUCUUCUCUUUUUCUUUCUCCAAGUUUGAUCACCUCUUUCUCUAUAGCCUCUCUGUUGAGGAGUUCGUCUGGCUUUUUUACUUGAAUCACUUACCUCUGUCCUUGCUGAGGUGAACUACAGACAAUUCUGUGCAGGAUCCUGACUUUUGUUGCCAGGCCAUUGAAGUCUUGCUGUUAUGUUGACCAGGCCAUUAUGUUGACCAGGGAAACUUGCUUCCGUUCUUGCUCCCAAGGAUAUAGGUGAGUGAUGUCUGAAGAGCAAUGAAGAACAAGUUCUGUUCUUCCAGGACUAGACUGGCAGUAGCAGGGACCAGUACAAUUUAAAUAGUUCUCUACUGAAAUACAGCUUCAGAAAUGUAGGGAAUUA